UUUUGCUGGAGAGUUUGAUCCUGGCUCAGCGCGAACGCUGUCGGCGUGCCUAA
Molecule: ribosomal RNA, 53 nt
Filed under: Phorcysia thermohydrogeniphila
Lineage: Bacteria; Pseudomonadati; Aquificota; Aquificia; Desulfurobacteriales; Desulfurobacteriaceae
Description: partial 16S ribosomal RNA
Source: RNAcentral